AGCUGGUCUGAGGGAUAUUCAGCCACCUGACUGAGAUACGUACAGCCUUCGGAGGCUGCAGUCGAAUCUGGCCAUGCACGAAGUUGACAGGACACCGCGGAAGAUGACGCCUCCAGUCGUACCUUCUUGAUAGGGAGAACCCAUGACGUACGCUAUGAUAGCCACGGCUAACUACGUGCAGCAGCCGCCGUAAUCCGUAGGUGGCAAGCGUUGUCCGAUUUACUGGCCGUAAAGGGCAGCAGGCGGAUCGUAAGUAGAAAGUGAAAGGUCGGGGCUCAACCCACAUGCUUUCUAUACUGGCGGUCUUGAGUCCCGGAGGGGAGAGCGGAACGACACGUGUAGCGGUGAAAUGCGUUGAUAUGUGUCGGAACACCAAUGGCGAAGGCAGCUCUCUGGACGGGUACUGACGCUCAUUUGCGAAAGCCGAGGUAGCGAACAGGAUUAGAUAUCCUGGUAGUCUCGGCCCUAAACGAUGAUCACUAGAUGUCGGGGGGUUUCCCUCGGUGUCGCAGCUAACGCAUUAAGUGAUCCGCCUGGGGACUACGGCCGCAAGGUUGAAACUCAAAGGAAUUGGCGGGGGCCCGCACAAGCGGUGGAGCAUAUGGCUUAAUUCGAUGCAACGCGAAGAACCUUACCCAGGCUUGACAUGUACCUGCAAGCUCCCCAAAAGGAGCCGCUUUCGAAGGUGGUACACAGGUGGUGCAUGGCUGUCGUCAGCUCGUGUUGUGAAAUGUUGGGUUAAGUCCCGCAACGAGCGCAACCCUCAUGUUAUGUUGCCAGCGAGUAAUGUCGGGAACUCGUAACAAACUGCCUAUGUAAAUAGGAGGAAGGUGGGGAUGACGUCAAGUCAUCAUGCCCCUUACGCCUGGGGCUGCACAUAUGCUACAAUGGAUGCUACAAACAGUUGCGAUCCCGCGAGGGUUAGCUAAUCUGAAAAAAGCAUUCUCAGUUCGGAUUGGAGUCUGCAACUCGACUCCAUGAAGCCGGAAUCGCUAGUAACCGCAGGUCAGCAUUACUGCGGUGAAUACGUUCCCGGGCCUUGCACACACCGCCCGUCACGUGACGAAAGUUGCGUUUUGUCCCGCAGAGUCGUUGAGCUACCGCAAGAAGCAGACCCGAAUGUAACUACUGAAAGUUCAGUCAA
Molecule: ribosomal RNA, 1144 nt
Filed under: uncultured bacterium
Lineage: Bacteria
Description: bacterial SSU rRNA
Rfam family: Bacterial small subunit ribosomal RNA
Source: RNAcentral